RNAcentral lists this ribosomal RNA (497 nucleotides) under uncultured bacterium. RNAcentral describes it as "partial 16S ribosomal RNA". It matches the Rfam family "Bacterial small subunit ribosomal RNA", at positions 28 to 507 of the family's 1533-position model. The record is from RNAcentral.
GAUGAACGCUGGCGGCGUGCCUAAUACAUGCAAGUCGAGCGAACAGACGAGGAGCUUGCUCCUCUGACGUUAGCGGCGGACGGGUGAGUAACACGUGGAUAACCUACCUAUAAGACUGGGAUAACUUCGGGAAACCGGAGCUAAUACCGGAUAAUAUAUUGAACCGCAUGGUUCAAUAGUGAAAGACGGUUUUGCUGUCACUUAUAGAUGGAUCCGCGCCGCAUUAGCUAGUUGGUAAGGUAACGGCUUACCAAGGCAACGAUGCGUAGCCGACCUGAGAGGGUGAUCGGCCACACUGGAACUGAGACACGGUCCAGACUCCUACGGGAGGCAGCAGUAGGGAAUCUUCCGCAAUGGGCGAAAGCCUGACGGAGCAACGCCGCGUGAGUGACGAAGGUCUUCGGACCGUAAAACUCUGUUAUUAGGGAAGAACAAAUGUGUAAGUAACUAUGCACGUCUUGACGGUACCUAAUCAGAAAGCCACGGCUAACUACGUG